RNAcentral lists this ribosomal RNA (1038 nucleotides) under Triticum aestivum (bread wheat). RNAcentral describes it as "partial small subunit ribosomal RNA". Lineage: Eukaryota; Viridiplantae; Streptophyta; Magnoliopsida; Poales; Poaceae. The record is from RNAcentral.
AUGGGGCACAUGAAGAAUGUGGGCAUUGUGUAUGUUGAGUCUAGGCAAGUGAUCAAAUCUGAGCUAGCACACAACCUGUCUCUCAUAUACAAAACUAACUGGCCCUGUCAAGUAAGGAAACUAGAUGACUGGACCUUUCUAGUCAAGUUCCCUCCACAUAUCCCUGUUGAACAAGUGGAUGGAUACCCCAUGUUUGGACUUCCAGAAAUGGAAGGAGUCACAGUUAAGGUAGUGGUGUGGAAAGGAGAAUUAGAACAUCAUAGUGAACUCCAAAAAGUCUGGGUCCAAUUGAGAGGAGUGCCCCCUACUUGGGCUGAAUGGGCAGUCCUAGAACAAUUUGCAUCUAUCGUUGGUUCACUGAUUGAUGUGGAUUGGCAAGGUAACUUCAGACCCUUCUUUGAAGUGGUCAGGAUCAAAAUCAGAUGCAGAGACCACACCAAAGUACCUGCUGAUAGGAUUUUUGGGAUAGGGGACAAGCUCUACAAGAUUCUUAUCAAAGUGGAGCCACCUGAGGAGGAUUUUGAGGAUGAUGAUCUUCUAGAUGAUGACCUAGAGGGAAAUAGGAAAGAAGCUGAAGGAUCAGGCCCAGGUGCUGAUGAUGGUAACACCACCAAUAGUAGCAAGGGUGGGGGAACAAGCAGCUCCACAUCCUCUCUAACAAGCAGCGAAAACCCUGGAACUAGUUCUACAACCAACUCAAGGCAAAAAGCUAUGGAGUACCUCAAGCAACUGCCUCAUCCACUCUCAAUGGACCACACGUAUUCCUUGCUGCAGGAAAUGGAACUGAUGGGAGAGGAUGAGGAUGAUGAGGACAUGGUAGAUGAGAUUGCUGAAGAAGAAGACUUGGAGUUAGGUAACAAUGUUGAAGUGGUGUUUAGCCCACAAACACAUCACACUCCUGCCACAGAUGCUCACUUAAGGAACAUGGUCCCUGCAAAACAACAAUGGGGCCCGAUACUGGCCUCGAGGAAGAGUAAUAGAGUUGAUGUAGGAGACAUGACUAUGCUGGAAAUUGCUAUGAACACCAAGAAAGUGUAG